AGAGUUUGAUCCUGGCUCAGGAUGAACGCUAGCUACAGGCUUAACACAUGCAAGUCGAGGGGCAGCAUGGUCUUAGCUUGCUAAGGCCGAUGGCGACCGGCGCACGGGUGAGUAACACGUAUCCAACCUGCCGUCUACUCUUGGACAGCCUUCUGAAAGGAAGAUUAAUACAAGAUGGCAUCAUGAGUCCACAUGUUCACAUGAUUAAAGGUAUUCCGGUAGACGAUGGGGAUGCGUUCCAUUAGAUAGUAGGCGGGGUAACGGCCCACCUAGUCUUCGAUGGAUAGGGGUUCUGAGAGGAAGGUCCCCCACAUUGGAACUGAGACACGGUCCAAACUCCUACGGGAGGCAGCAGUGAGGAAUAUUGGUCAAUGGGCGAGAGCCUGAACCAGCCAAGUAGCGUGAAGGAUGACUGCCCUAUGGGUUGUAAACUUCUUUUAUAAAGGAAUAAAGUCGGGUAUGCAUACCCGUUUGCAUGUACUUUAUGAAUAAGGAUCGGCUAACUCCGUGCCAGCAGCCGCGGUAAUACGGAGGAUCCGAGCGUUAUCCGGAUUUAUUGGGUUUAAAGGGAGCGUAGAUGGAUGUUUAAGUCAGUUGUGAAAGUUUGCGGCUCAACCGUAAAAUUGCAGUUGAUACUGGAUAUCUUGAGUGCAGUUGAGGCAGGCGGAAUUCGUGGUGUAGCGGUGAAAUGCUUAGAUAUCACGAAGAACUCCGAUUGCGAAGGCAGCCUGCUAAGCUGCAACUGACAUUGAGGCUCGAAAGUGUGGGUAUCAAACAGGAUUAGAUACCCUGGUAGUCCACACGGUAAACGAUGAAUACUCGCUGUUUGCGAUAUACGGCAAGCGGCCAAGCGAAAGCGUUAAGUAUUCCACCUGGGGAGUACGCCGGCAACGGUGAAACUCAAAGGAAUUGACGGGGGCCCGCACAAGCGGAGGAACAUGUGGUUUAAUUCGAUGAUACGCGAGGAACCUUACCCGGGCUUAAAUUGCAGAUGAAUUACGGUGAAAGCCGUAAGCCGCAAGGCAUCUGUGAAGGUGCUGCAUGGUUGUCGUCAGCUCGUGCCGUGAGGUGUCGGCUUAAGUGCCAUAACGAGCGCAACCCUUGUUGUCAGUUACUAACAGGUUCCGCUGAGGACUCUGACAAGACUGCCAUCGUAAGAUGUGAGGAAGGUGGGGAUGACGUCAAAUCAGCACGGCCCUUACGUCCGGGGCUACACACGUGUUACAAUGGGGGGUACAGAGGGCCGCUACCACGCGAGUGGAUGCCAAUCCCAAAAACCUCUCUCAGUUCGGACUGGAGUCUGCAACCCGACUCCACGAAGCUGGAUUCGCUAGUAAUCGCGCAUCAGCCACGGCGCGGUGAAUACGUUCCCGGGCCUUGCACACACCGCCCGUCA
RNAcentral lists this ribosomal RNA (1396 nucleotides) under uncultured bacterium. RNAcentral describes it as "16S ribosomal RNA". It matches the Rfam family "Bacterial small subunit ribosomal RNA". The record is from RNAcentral.